Long non-coding RNA from Numida meleagris (helmeted guineafowl), 840 nucleotides. RefSeq lists it as uncharacterized. The transcript has 6 exons. The record is from RefSeq and is a predicted model, not a curated record. Lineage: Eukaryota; Metazoa; Chordata; Aves; Galliformes; Numididae.
UAUGAGGAUUAACUUCCUCUGCUGAACAGCUGCUGCUAACCUGAAGCUUGUCUCCAUAUUCUGCAGUGUGCUGCUUUGAGAUCGGUACAAGAAAGUGAGAGAGGUUUGGCAGACACAGUUUGCGGACAUCUUUGGCAGAAAUGAUCGUGAAUAAAAGACAGUGUUCAGCUUUCACUAUUUUAAUAGCCUUUGCCAUCCCUUCAUUGGAGAGCAGCAAACCACAUCUCUUUUCAGUGAACCUGGGAUUUUUCCUUCACAAAUAAAUUUUUCAUAGCAGAUCGUCAGAAGAGUACAUAGCCAAGGUACACAGCUCAUCAGCAGGUGAUCCUACAUCCUUGCGGGUUACUUGAGGUCUUCAAAACAUCUGUGGACAGUGCAAGAGGGAAAUCAUCAGUCCUUCAACAGGUGUUUAAAAUGGUCAAAAAAUAUCCCACUAAGGCACUUCUAUGGAAGCUGGGGCACUCAGGCACUGUUCCUGCUGCCACUCAACUUGUAGCUUAUACAAAACAGACUCUCUUCCACAGCAAGAGAUGGAGCUCAUUCCCCUUAGCCAAUGGUCAAGACAUCUUUUGGACAGUGUAAAGGUGACUGGUAGAGGUCCAGAUCCAUGAGUGGUAUGGUUAUCAAGUCGACGCCUGAAAAUUUCCUGUGGUUAUUUACCAACACAUGCAUCUCCACUGGAUCCAUAUGUGAAGAAAAGGCCGUGAUAUUACUCCAUUAAAAUAUGAUGAGGCCUCAUUUACUUCCCUUGUUGGUGCUUGUAUCCUAAAAUAAGAGCCAAGGUGAUUUUAACAGAUGAUUAUUGUAGAAAGAAGGAACAAGAGAAGGACCCCCCUGGAG